RNAcentral lists this ribosomal RNA (2937 nucleotides) under Triticum aestivum (bread wheat). RNAcentral's name for it is "partial small subunit ribosomal RNA". Lineage: Eukaryota; Viridiplantae; Streptophyta; Magnoliopsida; Poales; Poaceae. The record is from RNAcentral.
ACGGGUCGUCUGGUGAACUCGCGACACAUCUAGCUCCCACCCACUCGCGCGUCGGCGUCAAGGUGUGGAGAUGGAGUCCGCGGGCACGGAGAUCAGGCAUCCUGGAUCCCUGGGCGCAGUUCGUGAGGUCACCGAAGAUGAUCCCAGCGGCCGAUUCCCAGAUUUAUUAGAUACAGUUGAAGCUGUUCUGCGCCCAGACGUCAGCGAUUCAGAAGAGAAUAAGGCCAGCAGGGCGGAGAAUGUGUAUGUAGCCCUGGAUGACAAGGUUGGAUGGGUUAGCAGGAAACGGCGGGAUGUCAUGCCAGACGAAAGACCAACAAGUGCAGACAGGGUCACCGCGCUGGAAAAAGCUCUAACCGGGUUUGCAGAUAGGGAUUCAGAUUCUGUUGUGACUCCGUCCGUUGGGCUAUCAUUUGACUCGAUAAAUGAGGCAUAUGAAUUCUACAACCUGUAUUCUUGGGAGUGUGGAUUUGGUGUUCGCUAUGCAAAGAGCAGGACGAAUGUAAAAGGGACAAAAUGCAUGCAGGAGUUCGUCUGCUGCUGCUCGGGCAAACCAAAAGAAGCAAAUACGAAGUCUACAUGGUGUCAAUGCCAAGCCAUGAUAAGGCUUCUCCGAACGGACGACGAAGGCUGGUACAUCAACAAAUUCAGGUCCAAACACAACCACCCCAUGCUGAACACUUGUGCUGAGAAGUUGCAUUUCCCAUCGCAUAGGCAUAUUGACAAAUACACACGUGAGCUUGUUUCCCAACUAAGACAGAACAAUGUUAAUCUGAGCAAGGUUUAUAGUAUAAUCGCAACAUUUUUUGGUAGAGUUGAGAAUGUGCCGUUCACCAAGAGAUGUUUAAGGACUCUGUGUGGGAAGCUUAGCAGGGAGCAAGCUGAUGACGAUGUGUGAAAGACAAUGGCUAUUUUUUCAGAAAUGAAAGCACAAGACAGCGAGUUCACAUACAACAUUCAGGUAGAUGAUGAGGAUACGGACCCUUAUGUGGAUGAACGGGCGUAGCAAAACACAGUACCAUCACUUCGGUGACGUUAUCACCUUCGACCCGACAUACAAAACAAACCUGUAUGAUAUGCCAUUUGGUCUGUUUGUGGGGGUGAAUAAUCAUUUUCAGAGUGUGCUUUAUGCGGGGGUUUUGAUGCGAGACGAGACCGAGGAUACAUUCAAAUGGAUUUUUGAUGAGUUCGUGAAGAUGAUGGGUGGUAAAAAACCAAUUACAAUUCUAACAGAUCAAGCUAGAGCCAUGGAAAAGGCAAUCGAGGAGGUGUAUCCUGAAUCCACGCAUCGCUGGUGCAAAUGGCACGUGCUGAAGAAGGCCAAAGAAAACCUGGGUGCUCAUUACACCAAGAAGUCAGAUUUCAGGGCUGAAUUCCACAAGCUUGUGCAUGAGAUGCUGACUAUUGAUGAAUUCGAGGACGGCUGGGCAGCAUUGCUUGACAAAUAUUCACUGAAAACAAAUCCAUAUCUCGUGCAGAUCUACGAGACUAGGCAGAAGUGGGCAAAACCUUACUUUGCCGGGAAAUUCUGUGCUCGCCAAACUAGCACUGGCAGGAGUGAGAGUGCAAACCAUAUGCUGAAGCAGUAUGUCCCCCCGUCAUGCUCAAUGAAUCUAUUUGUCAAGCAAUACAACAAGCUCCAGUUCGACCGAGAACAGGAGGAAGGAUUCCAGGAGAAACGUACUAGACUGAGUCAUGUUGUGCUGAAGGUGAACACCUCUCUUGAAGUACACGCAAGCAAGAUAUAUACUAGGAAGAUGUUUGAGAUUUUUGGUGGCAUACUGUAUGAAUCUGGAAUGUAUGAUGUCGAAGAAAUCAUAGAGAAGCAGAAAUACAUAGUGACACACCGGAGAGCCGAGCUCUGUGAGAAGUGGUUCAAGUGCCGGUUUGAAGUCAACGUGUCUAAUAACCUUGGUUAUUUCUCGUGCAUUUGCGGUCUGUUUGAGCACAUGGGCAUGGUUUGCUGUCACUCGCUACAGGUGAUGGUUCUACUACGCCUGAAGCAGAUACCUUCGAGGCAUAUACUGAAAAGGUGGAGCAUACACGGCAGAGACAACCUGCCAGCGCAUCUGAAGCACUAUCAACAAGACAUGGGUCUGUCGGAUGCGCCCACUUUCAGGCAUUCUGCUCUGUACAUCACUGCCCUGGAGGUUGCAAAUAUGGGGGACAGGAACCCGGCAGCUUCUGAGUUUAUGAUGACAGGCCUGGUUGAACUUAGAACAAGAGGCGCCGAGGUGUGCGCGUUCAAUGACGGCCUUGGCGUCGUUGAGCAACAGGUAUCCAACAAUGUAGUUCUUGGCGGUCCAAACUCAAAGUUUUUCAACGGCAAGACAUCUUGCUCCGUAAGAAGUGUGGAAGGCAAUCGAACUAAAUCACGCGAUGCCGCGUCUGUGUCUAUGCAUCCUCCAAUUAGCCAGGCCUCAGAAGCAUCAUGCCCAAAUGGUGAUGGGUACAAUUCAGAUUUCUUUGAAGCCGCGUCCAGCCUGAUGCCCAAUGUUGAACAAGAACUGCUUGCCCCGGAAAGAAAAAACAAACAAGGCGGGCCAACCACUAGCCGUGAUAAACUCCUUAUGAGAAAGACAUCGCCAAGAGAUCUAGGUUCUGUUCCAUCUGCAGGGGCAAAGGUCACAAAGCCAGCACUUGCCCUGAUCAAGGUGAUAUCCCCAAAAAGGAAAGGAAGGUGGCCACAUGCGGCAAAUGCAGGGUUCCAGGGCACCGAAGGAUGACUUGCAGCAAGCCUCUCGUCUCGAUGAUGCCCGGUGUCCCUCCUUCACAUUAGACGGUGAAUUUCGUACGCUGAUUCCCCCGUGUAACAUUUGCUUAGGUAUGGGCGUGCUGUCUGAACGUAUCUAGAUGCACAUGUGUUGUGCUGUCUGAACAUACGUACUUGCGUUUUAUAUAAUCUAUCAAACGUGUUUGAACGAUGAAAAUGUGUAU